AGAGUUUGAUCUGGCUCAGGAUGAACGCUAGCGGCAGGCCUAAUACAUCAAGUCGAACGGAUAUGAGGACUUCGGUUCUCAUGUUAGUGGCGCACGGGUGCGUAACGCGUAUGCAACCUACCUUUUACUGGGGGAUAGCCCGGAGAAAUCCGGAUUAAUACCGCAUAACACUAUUUGAGGGCAUCCUCUGGAUAGUUAAAGAUUUAUUGGUAAAAGAUGGGCAUGCGUGCCAUUAGCUAGUUGGUGGUGUAACGGACCACCAAGGCGACGAUGGCUAGGGGUUCUGAGAGGAUGAUCCCCCCACACUGGUACUGAGAUACGGACCAGACUCCUACGGGAGGCAGCAGUAGGGAAUAUUGGGGCAAUGGACGCAAGUCUGACCCAGCCAUGCCGCGUGCAGGAUGAAAGGCCUUUCUGGGGUUGUAAACUGCUUUUAUCUAGGAAGAAAAAACCCUUGCGAGGGGAACUGACGGGUACUAGGUGAAUAAGCACCGGCUAACUCCGUGCCAGCAGCCGCGGUAAAUACGGAGGGCGCAAGCGUUGUCCGGAUUUAUUGGGUUUAAAGGGUGCGUAGGCGGCCCGUUAAGUCCGUGGUGAAAGCCAACAGCUCAACUGUUGAACUGCCAUGGAUACUGACGGGCUUGAGUACAGACGAGGUAGGCGGAAUGGAUGGUGUAGCGGUGAAAUGCAUAGAUACCAUCCAGAACACCGAUUGCGUAGGCAGCUUACUAGGCUGUAACUGACGCUGAGGCACGAAAGCGUGGGGAGCGAACAGGAUUAGAUACCCUAGUAGUCC
RNAcentral lists this ribosomal RNA (796 nucleotides) under uncultured bacterium. Its description in RNAcentral is "bacterial SSU rRNA". It matches the Rfam family "Bacterial small subunit ribosomal RNA", at positions 8 to 796 of the family's 1533-position model. The record is from RNAcentral.